GUGGCUACGCCACCGACGAGGUAAUAUAAAGACUGACAGCCCUAGGUAAAUUUUCGUAUCAACCAAGGAACCCGAAAGGGCCCAGAGGUAAUUGAAGAGCGAUGAUAAUACCGACUGAUUUAGCUACGCCCAAGAUAAUAUAGCUAGCAACUAUUGCCGAUGCACGGCGAGGGGAAGAUAACACGUCGCUAUUCAUGUUUUAUCUCGCCGCUUCUAUGUCUCUCGACGCACGUCGCCAGCAGUUAUUGAAUCGAGGCCACGCUGUGACUCGAACGGCUGCGACGCUUCUCCAAUCAUUCAUCCCGGCGCACGCUUACUCGUUAGAAUUCUCGAAUGCAGAUAACGCAUUCAAAUAAAUAGCAAAGAAAAAUGUAGAUAAAGCAGUUGCAAGCUGUAGUACUGGAAACGAUACUUUAGAAGUAAAA
This 425-nucleotide unclassified non-coding RNA is filed under the name Harpegnathos saltator (Jerdon's jumping ant). RNAcentral's name for it is "trigger factor-like, transcript variant X3". Lineage: Eukaryota; Metazoa; Arthropoda; Insecta; Hymenoptera; Formicidae. The record is from RNAcentral.